Molecule: unclassified non-coding RNA, 406 nt
Filed under: soil metagenome
Description: partial contains 5.8S ribosomal RNA, internal transcribed spacer 2, and large subunit ribosomal RNA
Rfam family: 5.8S ribosomal RNA (bases 3-121)
Source: RNAcentral
GGUGAAGAACGCAGCGAAAUGCGAUAAGUAAUGUGAAUUGCAGAAUUCAGUGAAUCAUCGAAUCUUUGAACGCACCUUGCGCCCUUUGGCCAUUCCGAAGGGCAUGCCUGUUUGAGUAUCAUGAACACCUCAACUCUUCAUGGUUUUCCAUGAUGAGCUUGGACUUUGGGGGUCUUGCUGGCCUGUGGGUCGGCUCCUCUCAAAUGAAUCAGCUUGCCGGUUUUUGGUGGGCAUCACAGGUGUGAUAACUAUCUACGCUUGUGGUUUUCCACCAGGGUAACCUUCAGCAGUGGAGGCUCACUGGAGCUUACAAAUGUCUCUCCUCUGUGAGGACAGCCCUUUGAAUGUUUGAUCUCAAAUCAGGUAGGACUACCCGCUGAACUUAAGCAUAUCAAUAAGCGGAGGA